This 530-nucleotide small RNA is filed under the name Pan troglodytes (chimpanzee). RNAcentral describes it as "processed transcript". The record is from RNAcentral. Lineage: Eukaryota; Metazoa; Chordata; Mammalia; Primates; Hominidae.
CUCCCCUUCACUUACUCUGAUUGAUGGAAACACGUGCUGGGAGCUUUCCCUGACAUUCUUUCCAAAGACUGAAAAUGUAGAAGACAGAAGUAGCUCAGGGUCCUGGGGGAAUGGAGGACAUCCAAGCCCGUCCAGGAACUAUGGAGAUGGGACUUCCUAUGACCACAUGACCAGCAGGGACCUUGGGUCACAUGACAAUCUCUCUCCACCUUUUGUCAAUUCCAGAAUACAAAGUAAAACAGAAAGGGGCUCAUACUCAUCUUAUGGGAGAGAAUCAAACUUACAGGGUUGCCACCAGGUCUAUGCUCCAUCAGCAAGCACUGCCGACUACAAUAGGGACUCGCCAGGCUAUCCUUCCUCCAAACCAGCAACCAGCACUUUCCCUAGCUCCUUCUUCAUGCAAGAUGGCCAUCACAGCAGUGACCCUUGGAGCUCCUCCAGUGGGAUGAAUCAGCCUGGCUAUGCAGGAAUGUUGGGCAACUCUUCUCAUAUUCCACAGUCCAGCAGCUACUGUAGCCUGCAUCCACAUG